This 497-nucleotide ribosomal RNA is filed under the name uncultured bacterium. Its description in RNAcentral is "partial 16S ribosomal RNA". It matches the Rfam family "Bacterial small subunit ribosomal RNA", at positions 28 to 507 of the family's 1533-position model. The record is from RNAcentral.
GAUGAACGCUGGCGGCGUGCCUAAUACAUGCAAGUCGAGCGAACGGACGAGAAGCUUGCUCCUCUGAUGUUAGCGGCGGACGGGUGAGUAACACGUGGAUAACCUACCUAUAAGACUGGGAUAACUUCGGGAAACCGUAGCUAAUACCGGAUAAUAUUUUGAACCGCAUGGUUCAAAAGUGAAAGACGGUCUUGCUGUCACUUAUAGAUGGAUCCGCGCUGCAUUAGCUAGUUGGUAAGGUAACGGCUUACCAAGGCAACGAUGCAUAGCCGACCUGAGAGGGUGAUCGGCCACACUGGAACUGAGACACGGUCCAGACUCCUACGGGAGGCAGCAGUAGGGAAUCUUCCGCAAUGGGCGAAAGCCUGACGGAGCAACGCCGCGUGAGUGAUGAGGGUCUUCGGAUCGUAAAACUCUGUUAUUAGGGAAGAACAUAUGUGUAAGUAACUGUGCACAUCUUGACGGUACCUAAUCAGAAAGCCACGGCUAACUACGUG